Molecule: ribosomal RNA, 274 nt
Filed under: uncultured bacterium
Lineage: Bacteria
Description: partial 16S ribosomal RNA
Rfam family: Bacterial small subunit ribosomal RNA
Source: RNAcentral
AUACGGAGGGUGUAAGCGUUACUCGGAAUCACUGGGCGUAAAGCGCGCGCAGGCGGCUUGAUAAGUUGGAUGUGAAAGCCUACGGCUCAACCGUAGAACUGCAUCCAAAACUGUCAGGCUAGAGUGUGGGAGAGGAAGAUGGAAUUAGUUGUGUAGGGGUAAAAUCCGUAGAGAUAACUAGGAAUACCAAAAGCGAAGGCAAUCUUCUGGAACACUACUGACGCUGAGGCGCGAAGGCGUGGGGAGCAAACAGGAUUAGAAACCCGAGUAGUCC